Molecule: ribosomal RNA, 744 nt
Filed under: uncultured bacterium
Lineage: Bacteria
Description: bacterial SSU rRNA
Rfam family: Bacterial small subunit ribosomal RNA
Source: RNAcentral
AGUCGACGAGACGCUAAUUUAUUUAGUUGAAAGUGGCGGACGAGCGAGUAACACGUAAGCAUCUGCCCCGUACUCAGGGAUAACAUCAUGAAAGUGGUGCUAAUACCGGAUGGUCCCGCAAGGGUAAAGAUUUAUCGGUACGGGAGGAGCUUGCGGCUUAUCAGUUAGUUGGUGGGGUAAAGGCCUACCAAGACUAUGACGAGUAGCUGGUGUGAGAGCAUGACCAGCCGCGAUGGAACUGAGACACGGUCCAUACUCCUACGGGAGGCAGCAGUAAGGAAUCUUCCGCAAUGGGCGAAAGCCUGACGGAGCGACACCGCGUGGUGGAUGAAGGCCCAUGGGUCGUAAACACCUUUUCUAUGGGAAGAAGAUCUGACGGUACCAUAGGAAUAAGCCCCGGCUAAUUACGUGCCAGCAGCCGCGGUAAUACGUAAGGGGCAAGCGUUAUCCGGAAUUAUUGGGCGUAAAGCGUCUGCAGGUGGAAGCAUAAGUAGGUUAUUAAAUACCGGAGCUCAACUUCGGUGCCGUAAUCUAAACUGUGUUUCUAGAGGAUGGGAGAGGUAUGCGGAAUUGUGCAAGUAGGGGUAAAAUCCGUAGAUAUGCACAGGAACACCAAAAGCGAAGGCAGCAUACUGGACCAUUCCUGACACUCAGAGACGAAAGCGUAGGUAGCAAAACGGAUUAGAUACCCGUGUAGUCUACGCCGUAAACGAUGCAUGCUCGAUGUAGGCCCCCUCGACCUGG